Molecule: long non-coding RNA, 653 nt
Organism: Brachypodium distachyon (stiff brome)
Lineage: Eukaryota; Viridiplantae; Streptophyta; Magnoliopsida; Poales; Poaceae
Exons: 2
Source: RefSeq, a predicted model, not a curated record
UGCCGAUGCUCCCUCUUGGUUAUUGUGACCAUCUGGUUCGUGUGGCGUGUGGGAACUACCGUCCCGUUGGGAAGCCUGUUGAGGUCAGCAAACAUGAGAACCGCCGGGACGGAGUGCCUCAGCAAGAGGUCCAGCACCUGGUUCCCGGGGACCGAUGCGGUGGACAGCAGCCUGUCGCUGGGCAUCAGGAAGGUGGUGUUGCGCGGUAUCUGCUCCUGCACCAUCCUGAUGAGCAUGACGAAGGUGAAGUAGCGUGCUUGCUGCAUCUCCUGCGUAGUGGAGGCAAUGUCGCCGUCGACGGCUGACGGGGAAGGCGCUCCUGCGAUGGUGGUGACUGACACUACGAGAGCGACGAGCAGGCUGGCAGCAAAGUAAGAAGCCAUGGUUUUAGACGGGACGGGAAUACUGCUGAUGCCCUUUCUGGCCUUGCACACUUAGUUCCUGUUUGAACUACUGCAGCGCUGCAGGCUUUGCGCAUGUUUGAACUACCGGUACUUGGUGGUACGAUCAGUCUUUAGCCAACAGCGUUAACAAUCAGGACUCAGGAGUAGCAUUUCUGUCCGGUUGAGCAGCUUGAAAAAUUAUGAAUGUUGGGUUGUGAUGUAGUCAUAUUUGCUACUGGUGGUGACGUAAUUCAGCAAAAAUGCGUGGAA